AUUGAACGCUGGCGGCAUGCUUUACACAUGCAAGUCGAACGGUAACAGGCCGCAAGGUGCUGACGAGUGGCGAACGGGUGAGUAAUGCAUCGGAACGUGCCCAGUCGUGGGGGAUAACGCAGCGAAAGCUGCGCUAAUACCGCAUACGAUCUCUGGAUGAAAGCGGGGGACCGAAAGGCCUCGCGCGAUUGGAGCGGCCGAUGUCAGAUUAGGUAGUUGGUGGGGUAAAGGCCCACCGAGCCAACGAUCUGUAGCUGGUCUGAGAGGACGACCAGCCACACUGGGACUGAGACACGGCCCAGACUCCUACGGGAGGCAGCAGUGGGGAAUUUUGGACAAUGGGCGCAAGCCUGAUCCAGCAAUGCCGCGUGCAGGAAGAAGGCCUUCGGGUUGUAAACUGCUUUUGUACGGAACGAAACGGUCCGGGUUAAUACUCUGGGCUAAUGACGGUACCGUAAGAAUAAGCACCGGCUAACUACGUGCCAGCAGCCGCCGUAA
This 498-nucleotide ribosomal RNA is filed under the name uncultured bacterium. Its description in RNAcentral is "partial 16S ribosomal RNA". It matches the Rfam family "Bacterial small subunit ribosomal RNA", at positions 29 to 523 of the family's 1533-position model. The record is from RNAcentral.